CUUUCUCUCGAAAACCUAUCUGUCCUUCCCUUUCCUCCUCACGCGCGGCGAUUUCUUCUCUCUCGGGCGAAGACGAAACCGCGUUAGGGCUUGGUCGCCGGCGCCGGCGAAAGGCUUUUUCUGGCCGAUCUUCACCCGUGCGUGACCACCUCGACGAGGGGAGCUCGGAAACACAAAGAAGCCGCCGAGAUUUGAAGCUUCUCCGAACCCUAGAACCUUCCUCUUUUGGUUGUAAGUCCCAAAAGCAAAUAAAGGAAAAGCUAGAGUAUAAAGAGGAAGGCGACAAGGAGGAUGCGUGAUGGAUGUGUGUGAUGUUUGGAUCUAUGGAAGCUUGGGACCUUGCUAAAGGAUUUAAAUGGGAUUCUUGCUAAGAAGUUGUUUAGAGUCCUUCUUUAAUGUUAUUAGAGAAGUUGAGAUUAUUAAAGAGUUGUUUCUUUUUUCUUAUGUUGCUAAUUGAGUCUAUUCCGCAUUGUUAGUU
Long non-coding RNA from Zingiber officinale, 478 nucleotides. RefSeq lists it as uncharacterized. The transcript is spliced from 2 exons. Lineage: Eukaryota; Viridiplantae; Streptophyta; Magnoliopsida; Zingiberales; Zingiberaceae. The record is from RefSeq and is a predicted model, not a curated record.